CAAAAUGACUAGGUAUUUUUAGUCAUUUUGUAUAUUGCCUGUCAAGGUUAGGUAUUUUAUAAAUUGCUUGAAAUUUCAGUCAUUUUACAAAAUGCCUAAUUUAGAAAAUGCCUGUAACAUAUAUAAUUCUAAUAGAACCAAUACUGUAUUUUUAUAGGUUGAAGCAUACAAAAAUACCAAAGGAUAUUUGGUUGUUCCAGUUCCCGCUAAAUUGUAUAUGUUCCAGUUCCCGCUAAAUUGUAUAUGUUCCAGACCGUAUGAGUAUUUGGAGCGUAUGCGUACAGUCUGGCCGUAUGCAAACUUUUUCAAAAUACUCAUACGGUUGGACUACACGUACAGUCUGACUAAUAUUAAGAAGUUGGUCAAGUUUAUUAAAUACAAAAAAAAAAAAAAAAAAGAAGAUGUGGUAUGAUUGCCAAUGAGACAACUCUCCACAAGAGACCAAAAUAACACAGAAAUUAACAACUAUAGGUCACCGUACUGCUUCAACAAUGAGCAAAGCCCAUAUCACAUAGUCAGCUUUAAAAGGCCCCAAAAUGGCAAUGUAAAACAAUUCAAACAAGAAAACUACCGUUUAUGUAAAAAUUGAACAAAAAACAAAUAUGCAAGUUCAGCAACACAUAAACAAACGACAACCACUGACUAAAUACAGGUUUCUGACUUGGGACAGACACAUACAUACAGAAUGUUAGCAGGAUCCCAACCCUCCCCUUACCUGGGACAGUGGUAUAACAGUACAACAUAAGAACGAACUAUAAAAAUUAGUUGAAAAAGGUUUAUCUCAUCAGAUGGACAAAAAUACAAUUGGACGUGGCCGGGUACUUGUACAUCCCCACAACAAAAAGACAGUAGGUAAAGACCUGAGAGUAGUAGCAGUUAACUGACAGCUAGUUCAAAGCCUCAACAACUAAUGAAAAAUCAUGCAUUUAAGACUUAAUUAUCAAUCCGUUCACAUCCAACAUGCAUAUAAUAGAUCAACAUAACUUACUGUAACUCUCAAAUUAAUAUAAAAAAGUUCAAUUGUAAUUGAAAUAAAAACUUAAUAUUUUAACUAUUUAAUAAAAAAUUCACGCUAAUAAAAUCUGUUAGUCUCUUGUAUUUAGCAUGUCGAUCAGUAAUACAUUAAUUGAACUAUGAUCACUGAAAUUGAAGAUAUCUGAAGUAAACAUAAUGUGGGAGGACAAUUGUUUUAAAAUAUUUAGCAACUUCAUAAAAAAAUGCAAAUGCAAAGGAACAUGCAUGAACUGCAAACAUGUAAAUGUAAAAAAUAUUACUUUAUUUAUACACAACACAAUUUAAGAUUUAUGUUUUAUUAUUAAAAUAUCAAAACAUACUAAAUCUACA
Molecule: long non-coding RNA, 1344 nt
Filed under: Mytilus galloprovincialis (Mediterranean mussel)
Lineage: Eukaryota; Metazoa; Mollusca; Bivalvia; Mytilida; Mytilidae
Source: RNAcentral